RNAcentral lists this ribosomal RNA (501 nucleotides) under uncultured bacterium. Its description in RNAcentral is "partial 16S ribosomal RNA". It matches the Rfam family "Bacterial small subunit ribosomal RNA", at positions 28 to 523 of the family's 1533-position model. The record is from RNAcentral.
GAUGAACGCUAGCGGCAGGCUUAACACAUGCAAGUCGAGGGGCAGCACGAUGUAGCAAUACAUUGGUGGCGACCGGCGCACGGGUGCGUAACACGUAUGGAACCUGCCCUGUACUGGGAGAUAGCCCUCCGAAAGGAGGAUUAAUAUCCCAUAAUAGCUUGGGUGGCAUCACCUGGGUUUGAAAGCUCCGGCGGUACAGGAUGGCCAUGCGCACGAUUAGCUAGUUGGUGAGGUAACAGCUCACCAAGGCUACGAUCGUUAGGGGGCCUGAGAGGGUUAUCCCCCACACUGGUACUGAGACACGGACCAGACUCCUACGGGAGGCAGCAGUGAGGAAUAUUGCGCAAUGGAGGAAACUCUGACGCAGCCAUGCCGCGUGCAGGAAGAAGGUGCUACGCGUUGUAAACUGCUUUUAACCGGGAAGAAACCCUCCGACGUGUCGGAGGUUGACGGUACCGGAGGAAUAAGCACCGGCUAACUUCGUGCCAGCAGCCGCCGCGG